GCAGUCGAGCGGAAUUGAUGAGAAGCUUGCUUCUCUGAUGGUUAGCGGCGGACGGGUGAGUAACACGUAGGCAACCUGCCCUCAAGUUUGGGACAACUACCGGAAACGGUAGCUAAUACCGAAUAGUUGUUUUCUUCGCCUGAAGGAAACUGGAAAGACGGAGCAAUCUGUCACUUGGGGAUGGGCCUGCGGCGCAUUAGCUAGUUGGUGGGGUAACGGCUCACCAAGGCGACGAUGCGUAGCCGACCUGAGAGGGUGAUCGGCCACACUGGGACUGAGACACGGCCCAGACUCCUACGGGAGGCAGCAGUAGGGAAUCUUCCGCAAUGGGCGAAAGCCUGACGGAGCAAUGCCGCGUGAGUGAUGAAGGUUUUCGGAUCGUAAAGCUCUGUUGCCAGGGAAGAACGCUUGGGAGAGUAACUGCUCUCAAGGUGACGGUACCUGAGAAGAAAGCCCCGGCUAACUACGUGCCAGCAGCCGCGGUAAUACGUAGGGGGCAAGCGUUGUCCGGAAUUAUUGGGCGUAAAGCGCGCGCAGGCGGUCAUUUAAGUCUGGUGUUUAAUCCCGGGGCUCAACCCCGGAUCGCACUGGAAACUGGGUGACUUGAGUGCAGAAGAGGAGAGUGGAAUUCCACGUGUAGCGGUGAAAUGCGUAGAUAUGUGGAGGAACACCAGUGGCGAAGGCGACUCUCUGGGCUGUAACUGACGCUGAGGCGCGAAAGCGUGGGGAGCAAACAGGAUUAAAUACCCCUGGUAGUCCACGCCGUAAACGAUGAGUG
This 778-nucleotide ribosomal RNA is filed under the name Bacillus sp. (in: firmicutes). RNAcentral describes it as "bacterial SSU rRNA". It matches the Rfam family "Bacterial small subunit ribosomal RNA", at positions 57 to 815 of the family's 1533-position model. Lineage: Bacteria; Bacillati; Bacillota; Bacilli; Caryophanales; Bacillaceae. The record is from RNAcentral.